GGCAAUGUAAUCGUUCAUUCAUUGAAUUCAUUUUUAUCGUGCUACAAAAUGCGGAAGAGUUGCAUUGGGGGGACAUACAAUACAUACACAUAUAUGUAUAUGUCGCAGAAUAAUUUAAACAUUCAAAUUAUAACGAUUAUUUGUUGGUACACAUUUGUUUUAUUUCUUUGUGGUUCCCCUUUCUUUCGUGCGAGGCAGAUACGUAAUUCUGUCAACGUAGUCUGGCCGUGGGCAUGAGUGAGACAGAUAGUGUUCGUCAUAACUCACCACACUGUGCGUGUGUAUUGGAGGGUGAGAAGGAAUUGAGAAGGGAUCGACAUGAAUUAAAGAGGGAGUCGAGUUGUGAAAUUCAAUCAACAUGCCACGCGCCAGAAAACGUUUCGCCGAAAGUCCGGUCAAAGACUCGGAUAAUGAAUCCUCGUCAUCAGAAGUGGGAUUACCUCCGCCUCCAGCCGAUGAUGCAAAUCUUUUGUCAAUUUUGGAGAUGCAAAAUCAUAAUUUCGCUGAGCUAAUAAAACAAGUGCAGUGCUCUCAAAAUGAACCAAAAGAUGCCAAAAAUAUUGUUCUGCCAAAGUUCAACCCUGAUCGCGCAGGAUCAGACGCUCUCUCCUGGUGUUCAACGGUUGACUACAUCUUGUCCGAAAACCAGCUAGUGGGCAGCGCUCUUGUAAUGUCCCUCAGCAAAUCACUGGAAGGCACCGCAUCUCACUGGCUCUCGCAGACAUGUUUUCCCGGCAUUACGUGGACGCAGUUCCGAGAAUUAUUUUUGCAAUAUUUUUCUGGAACGGAGACUUUGGCCGCAACCGUUAUGAAUUUGCUAAAUGCACGCCCAAACGAAGGAGAGUGCUUGUCGCUGUAUGGAAGCAGAAUGGUCACAUCACUUAUGGCCCGCUGGAAGUCACUUAGCGUCGAGCAGAUUGCAGUAUCCGUUACGUUGGCACAUGCAGCUGGGAUAGACAAACGAUUGCGCCGUUUGGUUUUUACGACGGAUAUCAAAACCAGAAACGAGCUGCAUCAGGAACUCAAAGCCUUUUCGUUCGACACUAGACAGAACCAGCAUUCGAGUGACAACUUAUCAGCACCCCAAGGAAAAAGAGUCAGGACUAUGUCUCACAUCACAUGUCAUAAUUGUGGCAAACCCGGACACAAGAAGGCGGAAUGUCGCUUUAAUAAAGAGGCAACUCAGCGUCAGCAGCCCCGUAAUCAACAAUUUGGAGCAAAAGAUCGAUCAUCCGUGACCUGCUAUAAAUGUGGAAAAGCUGGACAUGUAUCUACUGUGUGCCCAGAUCGUCAGGAGCGUCCGCCGAUGAAGAGCAAUACCAUCAAAGACGUAAACAUAUGCACAGUACUUGAGCCCUUAGGAACGUUGCUGCAGUUUGGUGAGUCGUUCCAAUUUUACUUCGACUCCGGAGCCGAAUGUUCACUCAUCAAAGAGACUGCAUCACUGAGAUUAUCCGGCACUAGAAUAAACAACGUAGUGACAUUGAGGGGUAUAGGUGGCAACUCUGUUUGCAGCACUUUACAGAUAUUGGCGAAUGUUUUAAUUUGUGAGCAUUCUUUCGAAAUCUUGUUUCACGUAGUUUUAGACAAUCAUAUCAAAUACGACGCUCUGAUUGGUCGGGAAAUUUUGAGCCAGGGCAUCGGCGUGACAAUUACAUCAAGCGCGCUUACUAUGUUUAACGAAAAGUCUGUAUUACCUGUCGUAGUCUCCGAAUGCACUCCUGACCUGGCUAGUGUCGAUACCGAUUUACAUGGACAGGAUAAAGACAAACUGCUCUCAAUAUUACAGGGGUAUUCAAAUUCUUUUAUAAAUGGUAUACCACAGAGUCGCGUGACUACGGGACAGUUAGAGAUUCGCUUGAUUGAUCAGAAUAAGACGGUUCAGAGACGCCCUUAUCGAUUGAGUGUGGAAGAAAAAGAAAAGGUUAGACAUUCCAUUCAAGAGCUGUUGGAAGCAAACAUAAUAAGACACAGUUCCUCUCCUUUCGCGAGUCCGAUGUUACUUGUCCGCAAGAAAGAUGGUACAGACCGUCUGUGUGUUGAUUAUCGUGAGCUUAAUGCCAAUACCGUUUCCGACAAGUACCCAUUGCCACUUAUAUCUGACCAGAUAGCUAGGUUGAGUGAUGCUAGGUUUUUCACGUGCAUUGACAUGGCGAGUGGCUUCCAUCAGAUCCCAAUACAUCCAAGCUCUAUUGAACGGACAGCGUUUGUAACCCCAGAAGGGCAGUAUGAAUACUUGGCUAUGCCUUUUGGGCUUAAAAAUGCGCCUUCUGUAUUCCAGAGGGCCAUUAAUCGUGCCCUAGGCGAUCUGACUCAUACAUAUGUCAUCGUUUAUAUGGACGAUGUAAUGAUAGUUGCACGCACAAAGGAGGAAGCUUUCGACAGGCUAAAAAUAACUCUACAAGCACUCGUCGAAGCAGGAUUUUCUUUCAACAUUAAAAAAUGCUCCUUUCUUAAAUCUUGUGUAGAAUAUUUGGGCUUCGAAGUUAGAGCAGGUGAAAUUCGACCGAAUCCUAGAAAAAUACAAGCUCUUACAGAUUUACCGCCUCCGCAAUCUGUGACUCAACUGAGACAAUUUAUUGGACUGGUCUCGUAUUUUCGUCAGUUUGUACCCAAGUUUUCACAGUUACUGAAACCACUCUAUGCUCUAACUUCAAAAAGCAUGUCAUUUUCAUGGGAAUUAGAGCACGAGCAAAUACGACAGAAGGUAAUUUCAAUCCUGACUAGUGAACCUGUUCUUACUAUUUUCGAUCCACAAUUUCCUAUUGAGCUUCAUACAGAUGCGAGUGCCGUUGGCUAUGGCGCAAUUUUGUUGCACAAAAUCGAAAACAAGCCACGAGUUAUCGAAUACUUUAGUAAACGGACUUCGCCAGCGGAAUCGCGUUAUCACUCGUAUGAGUUGGAAACACUUGCAGUUUUCAAUUCUAUUAAGCAUUUUCGCCAUUACUUGUAUGGUCGACAUUUUAUCGUUUUUACCGAUUGCAAUUCUCUCAAGGCAUCUCGCACAAAAGUGGAACUGACUCCAAGAGUCCAUAGGUGGUGGUCGUACAUGCAAUCUUUUAAGUUUGACAUUCAGUAUAGGCCAGGCGAACGAAUGGCUCAUGUAGAUUUUCUGUCUCGAAAUCCCAUAUCAAAAGAUCGCAUCCAGUCAAAAGGUACAGUGGAAAAACAUAUAAAUUUAGCAGAGAUUACUGACAAAUGGUUGUUAGCUGAGCAGCAACGAGACGUAGAAACGUCGUCUAUUGUUUCUAAAUUGCGUAACGAUGAUCUUUCUGAGGAUUUGGCCAAAACGUACGAGUUAAGGGCAGGAACGCUGUAUAGGAAAAUUCAAAGAAACGGAAGGACUCGUUGUCUCCCUAUCAUCCCAAAGCCAUUUAGGUGGUCAGCUGUAAACAAUGUGCACGAGUCAAUUAUGCACCUUGGUUGGGAAAAAACCCUUGAGAAAAUGUACGAAUACUAUUGGUUUGACAAGAUGUCCAAAUACGUUCGCAAAUUUGUCGACAACUGUAUUACAUGCAGAUUGUCAAAGCCCCCAUCUGGUAGGGUACAAGCGGAGUUGCAUCCCAUACCAAAGGUUAACAUCCCGUGGCAUACAGUCCACAUCGACAUCACAGGGAAGCUUAGUGGUAAAAGUGAACAGAAGGAAUACAUAAUCGUGUCAAUAGACGCCUUCACGAAGUUUGUCUUUUUAUCUCAUACAUCGAGGCUAGACACCGAGAGCUGUAUUAAGGCAUUAAGAUCACAAAUAUCAUUGUUCGGCGUACCCUCUCGUCUGAUCGCAGAUCAGGGACGUAGUUUUUCAAGCACAGCAUUCCGUGAUUUCUGUUCGGUUCAAAAGAUAGAUUUGCAUCUGAUCGCCACGGGUGCUAGUCGGGCCAAUGGCCAAGUAGAGCGAGUUAUGAGUACUCUAAAGUCCAUGCUAACAGCGGUUGAGACAGGUCAGGGGUCAUGGCAAGAUGCUUUAUGCGAAAUUCAACUGGCUCUUAAUUGUACGCCCAAUAGAGUGACUAAGGUUAGCCCUUUAGAACUACUUAUUGGCAAAGAAGCAAGGCCGUUUGGUCUCGUACCUGUUGUUGAAAAUAAGAACGAUGUUGAUAUUGAUAAAGUUAGAGAAAUGGCUAAGCAAAACAUGGAAAAGAAUGCCAAAUAUGAUAAGGCUAGAUUUGAUAAAGAUAAGGCUACUAUUGUAAGACAUAAAGUCGGUGAUCACGUUUUGCUUAAAAACGAAGAGCGACAUCAGACAAAAUUAGACCCUAAGUUUAGAGGACCGUUUUUAGUAACCGAAAUAUUGGAAGGAGAUCGGUAUAAACUUAAGGCACUAACUAAUAAUAGAACAUAUAAAUAUUCUCACGAAUUUUUGAGGCGUAUGCCUGAGAAGGGGAUUACCACAGAGUUGGUAAUUAAUAUUGAAAUCUCCAGAAGGAAUUGAGAAGGGAUCGACAUGAAUUAAAGAGGGAGUCGAGUUGUGAAAUUCAAUCAACAUGCCACGCGCCAGAAAACGUUUCGCCGAAAGUCCGGUCAAAGACUCGGAUAAUGAAUCCUCGUCAUAUAUAUAUAAUAUAACACAGAUAGAAGAGAAAGAGACAAAGAAAGGGGGAGAGAGAGUGGAACCGACAAGGGCAACUCCAAUGGGGAGAGAGGCAAGUGUGUGUGUGUCGUGACAUUCGUCAAUUCUCUUAUCGCUCACUCUUGGGGGGACUUGGGGGGAAAAACUAACGUCAUUAAUGAAAAAUAAAAAUAUAUAAAUUAAUUAUAAAUUAAUAAUAUUGAAAAAUAAAAGUGCACACUAUUAGACAAUUACUAUUUUGAAAUGAAUAAAAUCUCAAUUAAUUUAUAGGUUUAUAGAUUUAUGAUCCCUAAUUUCCAAUCAAUUCUUUUUUAGGAUUUUAUUGUUUCAGAGUUCUAUUUGUGUCAAGUACUUGUGGCAAUUGUUUCAAUUUAUUUAAAAAACUAGUAUCUCCCUUUUUCGAAGACCAUUGACACCCUUCUUUCGAAUCAAUUAAAAUUGAAAAUUAUUGAAAACUGGGGGAGGAUUUUCGAGACAGAAUUUUGCUGAAAAUCACCGAUCCAACGACGUAAUAAUUGAGAGUCCGCCGUGGGCGGAGGACCCGGACCCGUAUCUCUUCCUCCCCCGAUCGUAUCUACAAUCCUAUAUAUAUAAACAGUAUCUCUGCGGGUUGGAGCGGUGCAACUUCCGGCUCUUUUUCGUUCCUGCCUCGUGUGGCAGUGUGCCAGAGUGGCAGAGUGGCAGUUGGCAUCCAAAUUGAACGCAAAUUGAUUUGUUGCAAUGUCCGGGGAGGGUGAAGGAGGUGGGGUUACUGUUCACAGACACAAGCCGGCUCUUUGCUGUCUGCCUCUAAUGGCUGCAAUUAAAUUUAUUGCCCCCCCACCGCCCCCCAGACCCCGACGAGGGGCCAAUUAAAAGUCAACCAACAACUAGUUCUCCGGAGAAUGGCAGAAGCAGAAGCAGAAUCAGAAGCUUUUGAAGCUAACUCACACACAAUGGAGACACACACACACACACACAGAGAGAAACAUAUGACAAUUAACUACACUGAAAUAAAUACAAAUAAAUAACUUAAAGAUACAAUACUAUUUAUUAAUUCAAGAGUUUAAUGAUCAAGUAUCUUUUUCAUUGAGAAAUAAAAAUUUAAAAAAAAAACUCUCCAUUUCAAUUCAAAAAUAAACAAUUUCCCAGCACUUCCUUCCAUUCAUUGACUCAUUCAGAUGUAGAUACUUUACGAUAUAGUAUAUAGUAUCUAUCAAUGCCAAAUACUUAUAAAUAGCUACGGCUACUACGGACAUCAGAUGCAGAUAAGAUGGCUUUUGGAUAGUUCGGUAAUCUACACACUUCUAUGGAUCGAAAAUCGAGUCUUUGAGUGGUUUUCAGAUACGUUUCUGGUUCUCAGCUACUUCUCCUCUGGUUUAUCUCUAUCUUUUGUGCCGGGCCUGUUUCUUAGUCUUCUUAGUCUCAACACAUGUACAUACAUAUAUGUAUCUAUAGACCCACACCACACCAGACCAGACCAGACCCGACCCAGCAUGAUAUGUAAUAAAAAAUAAAAAAAAAAUAUAUAAAAAAAAAGCAGCUGAUUCAAUUUAUCGAAAAGCCCCGCAGAGAGCACAGAGAUCAGCUGUGAUCUCUCAGAGAAGAGAGUCUUCCACUCUCUCUCCCACUCUCUGAAAGAAAGGUCAGUGCUCAUACACUUAACAAAAAAUAAACCUAUUUUAAGCUAUACUGGAAUUUAAUCUUUAUUAAAUUCAAAUAAUCUUUCAGUCCUAUCUUUAUAUCACAUACUUUCAUAUAUUUUAUUCAUUUCCACAAUUUAAUUUUAAGUUAUAUUCCUUUCAGUUAUUUUAAACUCAAUAUUAACUCCUAUUAUUUUUUUUAAAUAGGGUAAAGUUAAAGAAAAUAAGGCUAAACUUCAAAAUAGUUUCAAUUCAAAUAUAACUUUUGUACCCUUUUUAGUUUUUUCAAGCUCAACCUAGUAGUAGUAGAAAUUGCAAAAAUAUCUAAAAAUAAAAACUUGUAACCUAUGUAAAGCCAGCAGAGAGAGCAGAGAGAGGUAUCAUAGGAACGUGUGGAAACGGAACGAUCUUGCUAACGCUAUCAUAACGAACUCUUCAGUACGAUAGUCUCCCAAUCCGCUUCGAACACUCAACGCGAAGACAUCGACGAGCUCUGUAGUGCGUUCUAUGCGCCGGCAUAUCAUAUUGUUUUUUUUUGUAUUUUUUUCUUAUUGUUCUAAAAUAUUUCUGUGGAUGACGAAGAACAUCAUAAAUAUGCAUAUUAGUGGAGAUCUCUUUUGAGACACUCGCCGUCUAAAUCAAGAGUGUUGGAGAGUGGCUACCGUGAAGAGCAACAAAAAAUAGUGCUGUGCUCUGAAAUACUAUAAGAUACAAGAUACAAGAUACAAAAAUAAAAUCCGCAAACAAAAAUAAAUAAAAACACAACAAAUAAUUCACAAUAUAAUCGUCACUGCCAUAAAUUGUUCAAAAAACUGUUCAGAAAUGUGGAAAAUAAUGGGAAUGUCGGUAAUAAUUUUAUUGGUGGCUUCAGUAGCCCCUCUAGCCGGGAGUAC
Drosophila ananassae is the source of this 7082-nucleotide RNA transcript. RefSeq lists it as uncharacterized. NCBI's taxonomy places the organism in Eukaryota, Metazoa, Arthropoda, Insecta, Diptera, Drosophilidae. The record is from RefSeq and is a predicted model, not a curated record. The transcript has 2 exons.